Molecule: ribosomal RNA, 484 nt
Filed under: uncultured bacterium
Lineage: Bacteria
Description: partial 16S ribosomal RNA
Rfam family: Bacterial small subunit ribosomal RNA
Source: RNAcentral
AUUGAACGCUGGCGGCAGGCCUAACACAUGCAAGUCGAGCGGAUGAAGGGAGCUUGCUCCUGGAUUCAGCGGCGGACGGGUGAGUAAUGCCUAGGAAUCUGCCUUGUAGUGGGGGAUAACGUCCGGAAACGGGCGCUAAUACCGCAUACGUCCUGAGGGAGAAAGUGGGGGAUCUUCGGACCACACGCUAUCAGCUGAGCCUAGGCCGGAUUAGCUAGUUGGUGGGGUAAAGGCCUACCAAGGCGACGAUCCGUAACUGGUCUGAGAGGAUGAUCAGUCACACUGGAACUGAGACACGGUCCAGACUCCUACGGGAGGCAGCAGUGGGGAAUAUUGGACAAUGGGCGAAAGCCUGAUCCAGCCAUGCCGCGUGUGUGAAGAAGGUCUUCGGAUUGUAAAGCACUUUAAGUUGGGAGGAAGGGCAGUAAGUGAAUACCUUGCUGUUUUGACGUUACCAACAGAAUAAGCACCGGCUAACUUCGUG